GACAUACCUAUUUGUUGCCUCGGCGGUGCCUGUUCCGACAGCCCGCCAGAGGACCCCAAACCCUGAUUACAUUUAAGAAGUCUUCUGAGUAAACCGAUUAAAUAAAUCAAAACUUUCAACAACGGAUCUCUUGGUUCUGGCAUCGAUGAAGAACGCAGCGAAAUGCGAUAAGUAAUGUGAAUUGCAGAAUUCAGUGAAUCAUCGAAUCUUUGAACGCACAUUGCGCCCGCUAGUAUUCUGGCGGGCAUGCCUGUCCGAGCGUCAUUUCAACCCUCAAGCCCCCGGGCUUGGUGUUGGGGAUCGGCGAGCCUCCGCGCCCGCCGUCCCCUAAAUCUAGUGGCGGUCUCGCUGUAGCUUCCUCUGCGUAGUAGCACACCUCGCACUGGGAAACAGCGCGGCCACGCCGUUAAACCCCCAACUUCUGAACGUUUGACCUCGGAUCAGGUAGGAAUACCCGCUGAACUUAAGCAUAUCAAUAAGCGGAGG
Molecule: ribosomal RNA, 486 nt
Filed under: Ilyonectria sp.
Lineage: Eukaryota; Fungi; Ascomycota; Sordariomycetes; Hypocreales; Nectriaceae
Description: eukaryotic LSU rRNA
Rfam family: 5.8S ribosomal RNA (bases 111-264)
Source: RNAcentral